AGAGUCAAAUCAUAUUAAAAUCACACUGAUAUUCUUUGGUGGUGAAAAUAGUGAGAGUAUAUGUUUUUUUUAUGUUCAGAUAUAUCAGUGUCCUGAAAUCUAUUCAUCAAUGGAUGUUUCAUUAUUAGAAAUGACACAUUUUCCAAGUAUUGCUUGUAGAUAGACAGAUGCAUAUUACAAAUAUUAUAGUAGACUGACCAGACCAGUUUAAAAAGCAGUAUCAGUCAAAAGACAGACAGUGAGGAAUCAGAUUUAGAUUGUAUUGAGAAUACAGUCCUCACCAUAUCUAUUUAGACAUUGAGGUAUCAGAUUUAGAUUGUAUUGAGAAUACAGUCCUCACCAUAUCUAUUUAGACAGUGAGGAAUCAGAUUUAGAUUGUAUUGAGAAUACAGUCCUCACCAUAUCUAUUUAGACAUUGAGGUAUCAGAUUUAGAUUGUAUUGAGUAUACAGUCCACACCAUAUCUAUUUAGACAGUGAGGAAUCAGAUUUAGAUUGUAUUGAGUAUACAGUCCACACCAUAUCUAUUUAGACAGUGAGGAAUCAGAUUUAGAUUGUAUUGAGUAUUCAGUCCACACCAUAUCUAUUUAGACAGUGAGGAAUCAGAUUUAGAUUGUAUUGAGAAUACAGUCCACACCAUAUCUAUUUAGACAGUGAGGUAUCAGAUUUAGAUUGUAUUGAGUAUACAGUCCACACCAUAUCUAUUUAGACAGUGAGGUAUCAGAUUUAGAUUGUAUUGAGUAUACAGUCCACACCAUAUCUAUUUAGACAGUGAGUAUCAGAUUUAGAUUGUAUUGAGUAUACAGUCCACACCAUAUCUAUUUAGAC
This is a long non-coding RNA of Oncorhynchus keta (chum salmon), 826 nucleotides long. RefSeq lists it as uncharacterized. The record is from RefSeq and is a predicted model, not a curated record. The transcript is spliced from 3 exons. Lineage: Eukaryota; Metazoa; Chordata; Actinopteri; Salmoniformes; Salmonidae.